GCUACACAUGCAGUCGAGCGGCAGCACGGGUACUUGUNCCUGGUGGCGAGCGGCGGACGGGUGAGUAAUGCCUAGGAAUCUGCCUGGUAGUGGGGGAUAACGCUCGGAAACGGACGCUAAUACCGCAUACGUCCUACGGGAGAAAGCAGGGGACCUUCGGGCCUUGCGCUAUCAGAUGAGCCUAGGUCGGAUUAGCUAGUUGGUGAGGUAAUGGCUCACCAAGGCGACGAUCCGUAACUGGUCUGAGAGGAUGAUCAGUCACACUGGAACUGAGACACGGUCCAGACUCCUACGGGAGGNAGCAGUGGGGAAUAUUGGACAAUGGGCGAAAGCCUGAUCCNGCCAUGCCGCGUGUGUGAAGAAGGUCUUCGGAUUG
Molecule: ribosomal RNA, 376 nt
Filed under: bacterium fme08x93p395
Lineage: Bacteria
Description: bacterial SSU rRNA
Rfam family: Bacterial small subunit ribosomal RNA
Source: RNAcentral